Oryza sativa Indica Group (long-grained rice) is the source of this 208-nucleotide microRNA precursor. It matches the Rfam family "MIR812 microRNA precursor family". NCBI's taxonomy places the organism in Eukaryota, Viridiplantae, Streptophyta, Magnoliopsida, Poales, Poaceae. The record is from Rfam.
AAUAAGUGCAGUUUUACACUAUUUAUAUUUAACGUUUGACCGUUCGUCUUAUUUGAAACUUUUUUACGAUUAAUAUUUUUAUUGUUACUAGAUGAUUAAACAUGAAUAGUACUUUAUGUGUGACUAACUUUUUUUAAUUUUCUCAUAAAUUUUUCAAAUAAGAUGGACGGUCAAACUUUGGACACGGAUUCCCACGACUGUACUUAUU